CUCCUACGGGAGGCAGCAGUAGGGAAUCUUCCACAAUGGACGCAAGUCUGAUGGAGCAACGCCGCGUGAGUGAAGAAGGUCUUCGGAUCGUAAAACUCUGUUGUUAGAGAAGAACACGAGUGAGAGUAACUGUUCAUUCGAUGACGGUAUCUAACCAGCAAGUCACGGCUAACUACGUGCCAGCAGCCGCGGUAAUACGUAGGUGGCAAGCGUUGUCCGGAUUUAUUGGGCGUAAAGGGAACGCAGGCGGUCUUUUAAGUCUGAUGUGAAAGCCUUCGGCUUAACCGGAGUAGUGCAUUGGAAACUGGAAGACUUGAGUGCAGAAGAGGAGAGUGGAACUCCAUGUGUAGCGGUGAAAUGCGUAGAUAUAUGGAAGAACACCAGUGGCGAAAGCGGCUCUC
This 401-nucleotide ribosomal RNA is filed under the name Ligilactobacillus salivarius. RNAcentral's name for it is "bacterial SSU rRNA". It matches the Rfam family "Bacterial small subunit ribosomal RNA", at positions 336 to 729 of the family's 1533-position model. Lineage: Bacteria; Bacillati; Bacillota; Bacilli; Lactobacillales; Lactobacillaceae. The record is from RNAcentral.